CUUUAAGGGUCCUGAAGGAACGUUGAAGACGACGACGUUGAUAGGCCGGGUGUGUAAGCGCAGCGAUGCGUUGAGCUAACCGGUACUAAUGAACCGUGAGGCUUAAUCUU
RNAcentral lists this ribosomal RNA (110 nucleotides) under Escherichia coli. RNAcentral's name for it is "partial 23S ribosomal RNA". It matches the Rfam family "Bacterial large subunit ribosomal RNA", at positions 2811 to 2925 of the family's 2925-position model. Lineage: Bacteria; Pseudomonadati; Pseudomonadota; Gammaproteobacteria; Enterobacterales; Enterobacteriaceae. The record is from RNAcentral.